Molecule: ribosomal RNA, 253 nt
Filed under: uncultured bacterium
Lineage: Bacteria
Description: partial 16S ribosomal RNA
Rfam family: Bacterial small subunit ribosomal RNA
Source: RNAcentral
UACGGAGGAUGCAAGCGUUAUCCGGAUUUAUUGGGUUUAAAGGGCGCGUAGGCGGAAAAAUAAGUCAGUGGUGAAAGCCUGCAGCUCAACUGUAGAAUUGCCAUUGAUACUGUCUUUCUUGAGUACAUUUGAGGUGGGCGGAAUGUGUUGUGUAGCGGUGAAAUGCAUAGAGAUGGCACAGAACACCAAUUGCGAAGGCAGCUCACUAAGUUGUCACUGACGCUGAGGCGCGAAAGCGUGGGUAGCAAACAGG